CCUACGGGUGGCUGCAGUGGGGAAUAUUGGGCAAUGGGCGCAAGCCUGACCCAGCAACGCCGCGUGAAGGAAGAAGGCUUUCGGGACGUAAACUUCUUUUCUGAGGGACGAAGAUAGUGACGGUACCGCAGGAAUAAGCCACGGCUAACUACGUGCCAGCAGCCGCGGUAAUACGUAGGUGGCAAGUGUUAUCCGGAUUUAUUGGGGGUAAAGGGCGUGUAGGCGGGAAAGCAAGUCAGAUGUGAAAACCCGGGGCUCAACCCUGAGCCUGCAUUUGAAACUGUUUUUCUGGAGUGCUGGAGAGGCAAUCGGAAUUCCGUGUGUAGCGGUGAAAUGCGUAGAUAUACGGAGGAACACCAGUGGCGAAGGCGGAUUGCUGGACAGUAACUGACGCUGAGGCGCGAAAGCGUGGGGAGCAAACAGGAUUAGAUACCCGAGUAGUC
Molecule: ribosomal RNA, 443 nt
Filed under: uncultured bacterium
Lineage: Bacteria
Description: partial 16S ribosomal RNA
Rfam family: Bacterial small subunit ribosomal RNA
Source: RNAcentral